RNAcentral lists this ribosomal RNA (429 nucleotides) under Bacteroidota bacterium. RNAcentral's name for it is "Bacteroidetes bacterium partial 16S ribosomal RNA". It matches the Rfam family "Bacterial small subunit ribosomal RNA", at positions 355 to 776 of the family's 1533-position model. Lineage: Bacteria; Pseudomonadati; Bacteroidota. The record is from RNAcentral.
UUGGGAAUCUUCCGCAAUGGACGCAAGUCUGACGGACCAACGCCGCGUGAGUGAAGAAGGAUUUCGGUUCGUAAAACUCUGUUUUUAGAGAAGAACAGCGCAUAGAGUAACUGUUAUGCGUGUGACGGUAUCUAACCAGAAAGCCACGGCUAACUACGUGCCAGCAGCCGCGGUAAUACGUAGGUGGCCAGCGUUGUCCGGAUUUAUUGGGCGUAAAGCGAGCGCAGGCGGUCAAUUAAGUCUGAGGUGAAAGCCCCCGGCUCAACCGGGGAGGGUCGUUGGAAACUGGUUGCCAUGAGUGCGGGAGAGGAGGGUGGAAUUCCAGGUGUGGCGGUGAAAUGCGUAGAUAUAUGGAGGAACGCCAGUGGAGAAGGCGACUCUCUGGUCUGUAACUGACGCUGAGGCUCAAAAGCGUGGGUAGCAAACAGG